AGAGUUUGAUCAUGGCUCAGAGCGAACGCUGGCGGCAGGCUUAACACAUGCAUGUCGAGCGGGCGUAGCAAUACGUCAGCGGCAGACGGGUGAGUAACGCGUGGGAACGUACCUUUUGGUUCGGAACAACMCAGGGAAACUUGUGCUAAUACCGGAUAAGCCCUUACGGGGAAAGAUUUAUCGCCGAAAGAUCGGCCCGCGUCUGAUUAGCUAGUUGGUGAGGUAACGGCUCACCAAGGCGACGAUCAGUAGCUGGUCUGAGAGGAUGAUCAGCCACAUUGGGACUGAGACACGGCCCAAACUCCUACGGGAGGCAGCAGUGGGGAAUAUUGGACAAUGGGCGCAAGCCUGAUCCAGCCAUGCCGCGUGAGUGAUGAAGGCCCUAGGGUUGUAAAGCUCUUUUGUGCGGGAAGAUAAUGACGGUACCGCAAGAAUAAGCCCCGGCUAACUUCGUGCCAGCAGCCGCGGUAAUACGAAGGGGGCUAGCGUUGCUCGGAAUCACUGGGCGUAAAGGGUGCGUAGGCGGGUCUUUAAGUCAGGGGUGAAAUCCUGGAGCUCAACUCCAGAACUGCCUUUGAUACUGAGGAUCUUGAGUUCGGGAGAGGUGAGUGGAACUGCGAGUGUAGAGGUGAA
RNAcentral lists this ribosomal RNA (633 nucleotides) under uncultured bacterium. Its description in RNAcentral is "bacterial SSU rRNA". It matches the Rfam family "Bacterial small subunit ribosomal RNA", at positions 8 to 685 of the family's 1533-position model. The record is from RNAcentral.